AUGUACCUACGGGGGGCAGCAGUGGGGAAUAUUGCACAAUGGGGGGAACCCUGAUGCAGCGACGCCGCGUGGGUGAAGAAGUCAUUCGUGACGUAAAGCCCUAUCAGCAGGGAAGAAAAUGACGGUACCUGACUAAGAAGCCCCGGCUAACUACGUGCCAGCAGCCGCGGAAAUACGUAGGGGGAAAGCGUUAUCCGGAUUUACUGGGUGUAAAGGGGGCGCGGACGGCGAUGCAAGCCAGGAGUGAAAGCCCGGGGCCCAACCCCGGGACUGCUCUUGGAACUGCGAGGCUGGAGGGCAGGAGG
RNAcentral lists this ribosomal RNA (305 nucleotides) under uncultured bacterium. RNAcentral's name for it is "bacterial SSU rRNA". It matches the Rfam family "Bacterial small subunit ribosomal RNA", at positions 333 to 655 of the family's 1533-position model. The record is from RNAcentral.